This 730-nucleotide long non-coding RNA is filed under the name Homo sapiens (human). RNAcentral's name for it is "HSALNT0124199". Lineage: Eukaryota; Metazoa; Chordata; Mammalia; Primates; Hominidae. The record is from RNAcentral.
GGGCAGACUUGUGAUUGCCUGCAAUAGUGGAAUGCUGAGAGCUGUUGCCACCUUCUUCUGAGUUUACUGGUAAUAAGUAGGAUUCACAUGGUAACAGUUGCCCGUGGAACCAUUUUCACAGACAAAACUAUAACCAUAAGAUUACAUUCUUGACAUAGCCAAGUGCAAUUCUAAAAGUUUAUCUGGAAACUCAUUUUCUGAAGUUUCAACUUUAAUCUCCAAUUUUGUUGGAGUGGAGCUAAAUCCUCUGAUCAGCGUUACCAAAAUGCCAAUUUCCUCUGAUACUUCUCUAAAAGCAACUGCUGCUGGGAGCAAUCAGGCCUCUGAUGAGGGAUGGCAGUGUAAGAAAAUAAACAACUUGCUAAAACUGCUGAAACUCCCUCUGCUUGUGAGAUUUAAAAAAAAUGGAUGAAAUUGGUUGGAACCAACAUGGCCAAUGGAGUCUGAGUAGAAAGAGCUUGCUGACGUCACAGCCCGAAUUUCCACCACAUUUCAUACUAACUCCCCCUAAAUUUGCAUAUGCAAACCACGAGCAAGGAUGAUCAAACAGACAACUGCGCAUGUCCGAGGACUUUCCAGAUCUCCCCUUUCCUUCCACCAAUCACUUACUAAUCUGAGAAUCCAUCCCCUAAUAAAAUCACUGCCUUAAAACCUGCACAGGAAGACAAAUUUGAGCUGGACUUAGUGUCUCUUUAUUAGUCGACUUGCAAUAAAAAAGCUUUCUUUUCCC